CCUACGGGUGGCUGCAGUCGAGAAUCAUUCACAAUGGGGGAAACUCUGAUGGUGCGACGCAGCGUGGGGGAAUGAAGGUCUUCGGAUUGUAAACCUCUGUUAUGUGGGAGCAAAUCAAAAAGAUAGUACCACAUGAUGAAGAGACGGCUAACUCUGUGCCAGCAGCCGCGGUAAUACAGAGGUCUCAAGCGUUGUUCGGCAUAACUGGGCGUAAAGCGUUCGUAGGCUGUUUCGUAAGUCGUGUGUGAAAGGCGCGGGCUCAACCCGCGGACGGCACAUGAUACUGGCAGAUUAGAGUACUGUAGAGGGAACCGGAAUUCGCGGUGUAGCAGUGAAAUGCGUAGAUAUCGAGAAGAACACUCAUGGCGAAGGCAGGUUCCUGGACAUUAACUGACGCUGAUGCACGAAGGCCAGGGGAGCGAAAGGGAUUAGAUACCCGUGUAGUC
Molecule: ribosomal RNA, 446 nt
Filed under: uncultured bacterium
Lineage: Bacteria
Description: partial 16S ribosomal RNA
Rfam family: Bacterial small subunit ribosomal RNA
Source: RNAcentral